AAUAGAUACCCCGGUAGUCCACGCCGUAAACGAUGAGCGCUAAGUGUUGGAGGGUUUCCGCCUUUCAGUGCUGCAGCUAACGCAUUAAGCACUCCGCCCGGGGAGUACGGUCGCAAGACUGAAACUCAAAGGAAUUGACGGGGGCCCGCACAAGCGGUGGAGCAUGUGGUUUAAUUCGAAGCAACGCGAAGAACCUUACCAGGUCUUGACAUCUCCUGACCGCCCUGGAGACAGGGUCUUCCCUUCGGGGACAGGAUGACAGGUGGUGCAUGGUUGUCGUCAGCUCGUGUCGUGAGAUGUUGGGUUAAGUCCCGCAACGAGCGCAACCCUUGGUUCUAGUUGCCAGCAUUCAGUUGGGCACUCUAGAGCGACUGCCGGCGACAAGUCGGAGGAAGGUGGGGAUGACGUCAAAUCAUCAUGCCCCUUAUGACCUGGGCUACACACGUGCUACAAUGGAUGGUACAAAGGGCAGCGAAGCGGCGACGCAUGAGCGAAUCCCAGAAAACCAUUCUCAGUUCGGAUUGCG
Molecule: ribosomal RNA, 526 nt
Filed under: uncultured bacterium
Lineage: Bacteria
Description: bacterial SSU rRNA
Rfam family: Bacterial small subunit ribosomal RNA
Source: RNAcentral